RNAcentral lists this ribosomal RNA (443 nucleotides) under uncultured bacterium. Its description in RNAcentral is "partial 16S ribosomal RNA". It matches the Rfam family "Bacterial small subunit ribosomal RNA", at positions 338 to 795 of the family's 1533-position model. The record is from RNAcentral.
CCUACGGGUGGCAGCAGUAGGGAAUCUUGGGCAAUGGACGAAACUCUGACCCAGCAACGCCGCGUGAGUGAUGAAGGUCUUCGGAUCGUAACAUUCUUUUCUAAGAGAAGAAGAAGUGGUCGAGACAUUAUUAGUAAGCCUCGGCUAACUACGUGCCAGCAGCCGCCGUAAUACGUAGAAGGCGAGCGUUAUCCGGAUUGACUGGGAGUAAAGUGUGCGUAGGUGGUUUGGCAAGUUAGUAGUGUAACUCCACGGCUCAACCUUGGAACUACUAUUAAAACUGUUGGACUUGAGUGCAGGAGGGGCAAGUGGAAUGCCUAGUGUAGCGGUGGAAUGCGUAGAUAUUAGGAGGAACACCAGUGGCGAAGGCGAGUUGCUAGACUGUAACUGACACUGAGGCACGAAAGCGUGGGGAGCAAACAGGAUUAGAUACCCCUGUAGUC